RNAcentral lists this ribosomal RNA (497 nucleotides) under uncultured bacterium. RNAcentral's name for it is "partial 16S ribosomal RNA". It matches the Rfam family "Bacterial small subunit ribosomal RNA", at positions 28 to 507 of the family's 1533-position model. The record is from RNAcentral.
GAUGAACGCUGGCGGCGUGCCUAAUACAUGCAAGUCGAGCGAACGAACGAGAAGCUUGCUUCUCUGAUGUUAGCGGCGGACGGGUGAGUAACACGUGGAUAACCUACCUAUAAGACUGGGAUAACUUCGGAAAACCGGAGCUAAUACCGGAUAAUAUUUUGAACCGCAUGGUUCAAAAGUGAAAGACGGUCUUGCUGUCACUUAUAGAUGGAUCCGCGCUGCAUUAGCUAGUUGGUAAGGUAACGGCUUACCAAGGCAACGAUGCAUAGCCGACCUGAGAGGGUGAUCGGCCACACUGGAACUGAGACACGGUCCAGACUCCUACGGGAGGCAGCAGUAGGGAAUCUUCCGCAAUGGGCGAAAGCCUGACGGAGCAACGCCGCGUGAGUGAUGAAGGUCUUCGGAUCGUAAAACUCUGUUAUUAGGGAAGAACAUAUGUGUAAGUAACUGUGCACAUCUUGACGGUACCUAAUCAGAAAGCCACGGCUAACUACGUG